RNAcentral lists this ribosomal RNA (117 nucleotides) under Bacillus subtilis. Its description in RNAcentral is "partial 16S ribosomal RNA". It matches the Rfam family "Bacterial small subunit ribosomal RNA", at positions 1 to 114 of the family's 1533-position model. RNAcentral also lists the same sequence under 2 other names. The record is from RNAcentral. Lineage: Bacteria; Bacillati; Bacillota; Bacilli; Caryophanales; Bacillaceae.
UUAUCGGAGAGUUUGAUCCUGGCUCAGGACGAACGCUGGCGGCGUGCCUAAUACAUGCAAGUCGAGCGGACAGAUGGGAGCUUGCUCCCUGAUGUUAGCGGCGGACGGGUGAGUAAC